This 427-nucleotide ribosomal RNA is filed under the name uncultured bacterium. Its description in RNAcentral is "bacterial SSU rRNA". It matches the Rfam family "Bacterial small subunit ribosomal RNA", at positions 355 to 774 of the family's 1533-position model. The record is from RNAcentral.
UAGGGAAUAUUGGACAAUGGGCGCAAGCCUGAUCCAGCAAUGCCGCGUGCAGGAUGAAGGCCUUCGGGUUGUAAACUGCUUUUGUACGGAACGAAACGGCUCUGGUUAAUACCUGGGGCUAAUGACGGUACCGUAAGAAUAAGCACCGGCUAACUACGUGCCAGCAGCCGCGGUAAUACGUAGGGUGCGAGCGUUAAUCGGAAUUACUGGGCGUAAAGCGUGCGCAGGCGGUGAUGUAAGACAGAUGUGAAAUCCCCGGGCUCAACCUGGGACCUGCAUUUGUGACUGCAUCGCUGGAGUGCGGCAGAGGGGGAUGGAAUUCCGCGCGUAGCAGUGAAAUGCGUAGAUAUGCGGAGGAACACCGAUGGCGAAGGCAAUCCCCUGGGCCUGCACUGACGCUCAUGCACGAAAGCGUGGGGAGCAAACA